This 96-nucleotide signal recognition particle RNA is filed under the name Candidatus Opitulatrix roisinitermitis. RNAcentral's name for it is "signal recognition particle sRNA small type". It matches the Rfam family "Bacterial small signal recognition particle RNA". Rfam says of the family: The signal recognition particle (SRP) is a universally conserved ribonucleoprotein involved in the co-translational targeting of proteins to membranes. Archaeal SRP consists of a 7S RNA and homologues of the eukaryotic SRP19 and SRP54 proteins. Lineage: Bacteria; Bacillati; Actinomycetota; Actinomycetes; Bifidobacteriales; Bifidobacteriaceae. The record is from RNAcentral.
AAAAAGGCUCUAUAUGGUGUAAUAUAGUUUAAUCCCCCAGGGCAGAAAUGCAGCAAGGGUAAGCUAGCUCUUACAGGUAUAUGGAGCCUUUUUUGA